UAGGGAAUCUUCCGCAAUGGACGAAAGUCUGACGGAGCAACGCCGCGUGAGUGAUGAAGGGUUUCGGCUCGUAAAGCUCUGUUAUGAGGGAAGAACACGUACCGUUCGAAUAGGGCGGUACCUUGACGGUACCUCAUCAGAAAGCCACGGCUAACUACGUGCCAGCAGCCGCGGUAAUACGUAGGUGGCAAGCGUUGUCCGGAAUUAUUGGGCGUAAAGCGCGCGCAGGCGGCCUUUUAAGUCUGAUGUGAAAUCUUGCGGCUCAACCGCAAGCGGCCAUUGGAAACUGGGAGGCUUGAGUACAGAAGAGGAGAGUGGAAUUCCACGUGUAGCGGUGAAAUGCGUAGAUAUGUGGAGGAACACCAGUGGCGAAGGCGACUCUCUGGUCUGUAACUGACGC
This 400-nucleotide ribosomal RNA is filed under the name uncultured bacterium. Its description in RNAcentral is "bacterial SSU rRNA". It matches the Rfam family "Bacterial small subunit ribosomal RNA", at positions 355 to 746 of the family's 1533-position model. The record is from RNAcentral.